RNAcentral lists this ribosomal RNA (402 nucleotides) under uncultured Pseudomonadota bacterium. Its description in RNAcentral is "bacterial SSU rRNA". It matches the Rfam family "Bacterial small subunit ribosomal RNA", at positions 355 to 774 of the family's 1533-position model. Lineage: Bacteria; Pseudomonadati; Pseudomonadota. The record is from RNAcentral.
UGGGGAAUAUUGGACAAUGGGGGCAACCCUGAUCCAGCAAUGCCGCGUGAGUGAAGAAGGCCUUAGGGUUGUAAAGCUCUUUCGCUCGUGACGAUGAUGACGGUAACGAGAGAAGAAGCCCCGGCUAAUUCCGUGCCAGCAGCCGCGGUAAUACGGAAGGGGCUAGCGUUGUUCGGAUUUACUGGGCGUAAAGCGCAUGUAGGCGGCGGAUCAAGUGAGGCGUGAAAGGCCUGGGCUCAACCUGGGAACGGCGCUUCAGACUGAUUGGCUAGAGUUCGGGAGAGGGUGGUGGAAUUUCCAGUGUAGAGGUGAAAUUCGUAGAUAUUGGAAGGAACACCGGUGGCGAAGGCGGCCACCUGGCCCGAAACUGACGCUCAAGUGCGAAAGCGUGGGGAGCAAACA